UAGAGGUGAAAUUCGUAGAUAUUAGAAAGAAUACCAAUUGCGAAGGCAGCUUUCUGGAUCAUUACUGACACUGAGGAACGAAAGCAUGGGUAGCGAAGAGGAUUAGAUACCCUCGUAGUCCAUGCCGUAAACGAUGUGUGUUAGACGUUGGAAAUUUAUUUUCAGUGUCGCAGGGAAACCGAUAAACACACCGCCUGGGGAGUACGACCGCAAGGUUAAAACUCAAAUGAAUUGACGGGGACCCGCACAAGUAGUGGAGCAUGUGGUUUAAUUCGAAGAUACGCGCAGAACCUUACCAACACUUGACAUGUUCGUCGCGACUCUAAGAGAUUAGAGUUUUCGGUUCGGCCGGACGAAACACAGGUGCUGCAUGGCUGUCGUCAGCUCGUGUCGUGAGAUGUUGGGUUAAGUCCCGCAACGAGCGCAACCCUCACUUUUAGUUGCCAUCAUUAAGUUGGGCACUCUGAAAGAACUGCCAGUGAUAAGCUGGAGGAAGGUGGGGAUGACGUCAAGUCCUCAUGGCCCUUACGUGUUGGGCUACACACGUGCUACAAUGGCAUCUACAACAGGAAGCAAAACGGCAACGUUAAGCAAAUCCCGAAAAGAUGCCUCAGUUCGGAUUGCACUCUGCAACUCGAGUGCAUGAAGCUGGAAUUACUAGUAAUCGUGGAUCAGCGUGCCACGGUGAAUGCGUUCCCGGGUCUUGUACACACCGCCCGUCACACCAUGGGAGUUGGUUCUACCUUAAGGCAAGGUUUUAAACCCUUGACCACGGUAUAGUCAGCGACUGGGGU
This 794-nucleotide ribosomal RNA is filed under the name uncultured bacterium. RNAcentral's name for it is "bacterial SSU rRNA". It matches the Rfam family "Bacterial small subunit ribosomal RNA", at positions 676 to 1481 of the family's 1533-position model. The record is from RNAcentral.